This 486-nucleotide ribosomal RNA is filed under the name uncultured bacterium. RNAcentral's name for it is "partial 16S ribosomal RNA". It matches the Rfam family "Bacterial small subunit ribosomal RNA", at positions 28 to 507 of the family's 1533-position model. The record is from RNAcentral.
GAUGAACGCUGGCGGCGUGCUUAACACAUGCAAGUCGAACGGAAAGGCUCCUGCUGGCCGUGGUACUCGAGUGGCGAACGGGUGAGUAACACGUGGGUGUUCUGCCCUGCACUUCGGGAUAAGCCUGGGCAACUGGGUCUAAUACCGGAGAGGACGAUGGGUUGGAUGCCGUUGUGGAAAGUUUUUUCGGUGUGGGAAGAGCUCGCGGUGUUUCCGCGUGUUGGUGGGGUAGAGGCCUACCAAGGCGACUCCGCGUAGCCGGCCUGAGGGGGUGAACAGGCACACGGGAACUGAGACACGGUCCAGACGCCUACGGGAGGCAGCAGUGGGGAAUAUGGGACGAUGGGCGGAAGCCUGAUCCAGCCAGGCCGCGUGUGUGAAGAAGGUCUUCGGAUUGUAAAGCACUUUAAGUUGGGAGGAAGGGCAGUAAGUUAAUACCUUGCUGUUUUGACGUGACCAACAGAAUAAGCACCGGCUAACUUCGUG